UACGUAGGGGGCGAGCGUUGUCCGGAAUUAUUGGGCGUAAAGAGCGUGUAGGCGGUUCGGUAAGUCUGCCGUGAAAACCUGAGGCUCAACUUCGGGCGUGCGGUGGAUACUGCCGGGCUAGAGGACGGUAGAGGCGAGUGGAAUUCCCGGUGUAGCGGUGAAAUGCGCAGAUAUCGGGAGGAACACCGGUGGCGAAGGCGGGAUCCUGGGCCAGUACUGACGCUGAGGAGCGAAAGCGUGGGGAGCAAACAGG
This 253-nucleotide ribosomal RNA is filed under the name uncultured bacterium. RNAcentral's name for it is "partial 16S ribosomal RNA". It matches the Rfam family "Bacterial small subunit ribosomal RNA", at positions 524 to 776 of the family's 1533-position model. The record is from RNAcentral.